UGCAGAAUAAAUACAACUUUCUACCCAGAUAAACUCUCAAAAAUUAAAACACAAAACAAAACCUCUCAAUUAAAAUUUCCAAUUAAAAUUAAACUAAAAAAAAGAAUACAUUGCUCUCAUGAACUCAUACUAAAGAAAAAUAUUGCUCUCAUAAAUAAAAAAGAAAAACUAAACUCAAAUAGAAAACUAAAAAAAAAUUACAAUGCUCUGUUUUCAAAGCAUUCUCUCUUUCUCUCCCAAACCGAG
RNAcentral lists this long non-coding RNA (246 nucleotides) under Phoenix dactylifera (date palm). Its description in RNAcentral is "long non-coding RNA (PDAC_LNC006573)". Lineage: Eukaryota; Viridiplantae; Streptophyta; Magnoliopsida; Arecales; Arecaceae. The record is from RNAcentral.